Molecule: ribosomal RNA, 549 nt
Filed under: uncultured Glomeromycotina
Lineage: Eukaryota; Fungi; Glomeromycota
Description: SSU rRNA
Rfam family: Eukaryotic small subunit ribosomal RNA
Source: RNAcentral
UUGGAGGGCAAGUCUGGUGCCAGCAGCCGCGGUAAUUCCAGCUCCAAUAGCGUAUAUUAAAGUUGUUGCAGUUAAAAAGCUCGUAGUUGAAUUUCGGGAUCAAUUUAUUGGUCGUGCCAACGGUACGCACUGGUACAAUUGGUUUCUCCCUUCUGACGAAGCAUGAUGUCAUUAAUUUGAUGUCGUGGGGAAUCAGGACUGUUACUUUGAAAAAAUUAGAGUGUUUAAAGCAGGCUUUGGCUUGAAUACAUUAGCAUGGAAUAAUGAAAUAGGACGUUUGAUCUUAUUUCGUUGGUUUCUAAGAUCGACGUAAUGAUUAAUAGGGAUAGUUGGGGGCAUUAGUAUUCAAUUGUCAGAGGUGAAAUUCUUGGAUUUAUUGAAGACUAACUACUGCGAAAGCAUUUGCCAAGGAUGUUUUCAUUAAUCAAGAACGGAAGUUAGGGGAUCGAAGACGAUCAGAUACCGUCGUAGUCUUAACCAUAAACUAUGCCGACUAGGGAUCGGAUGAUGUUAAUUUUUUAAUGACUCAUUCGGCGCCUUACGGGAAAC